Long non-coding RNA from Pangasianodon hypophthalmus (striped catfish), 4566 nucleotides. RefSeq lists it as uncharacterized. The transcript has 6 exons. Lineage: Eukaryota; Metazoa; Chordata; Actinopteri; Siluriformes; Pangasiidae. The record is from RefSeq and is a predicted model, not a curated record.
AGAAAUCAUUUUUAUACUGAAAGCAAUAUGUACAUAAAUGCAUAAUAGAUGUAUGCAAAUGACCAUGCCGGUUUAAUGAAUAUGCAAAUGAGCCUAGUAGUGCAGUCACUAGAUAGAGAUAUGAAGACUGACAUUUUUGCUGCACGUGUCCCUGACGCAUGUAUGGCACGUGAUCAGCAAUAAUUGAGUGCACCUGGAACUGUAGUCACGUGACUGAUGAACGUAAACUAGGUGGCUAAUUUACUGUAGCUUCUAUUUCACAACAACAACAAAGAAGUGUUUGGCCGUCAAAGGAAAAUAGAUAAAACACACUCUUUAUUAUGAAAUUACACGACAGGACUGUUCUUGGCGAAAUCAGAACCCAUGAUGUGUGUCGUCUCACAAACAAGGUCCCAGAUCUGUUCCUGGAUGGAGGAAGCCAUUUUGAGGUGAAGUUUUCUCAGAUCUCAACUGUGCAAGUGCUGACUGAGGGCUCAGCUCAUGGAGGGAAGGGUCGGCCUAGAAAAACUCAGUUUAGUCUGUUGAUCUAAACGGUCCGUGGGGUAUAUCUCUCUCUUGGCCUGAAUCACCAAUUGUUCCAGUAUAAAGGGAGAAAAUGGUUUUACAAUGUUUUCUACCUGCAUCACAAGGGGAUUGAGCCUCUGCACUACUGAAUGACACAGCAAGCACUUUGACGUGUAUUUUUCUAUGAAGUCCCAACAGACACCGACCAGAUCAGAGAACGGCAGCAGAAGAGCGUCUCACAGCAGACCUGCUGGGAGGAGUGAAGGAUUUCAGCUUGGUCUGAAAAAAAUAUCAGUAACAUUUCAAGAGAGAUGUGCUUCUUGAAUACACUGCCCCUACUGGUGAGUGGAGGAGCUGCAUAUGAGCAAGCACUUGAGACCAAAAAAAAAGGGGGAAAAAUACAAUAUUUAUUUUUCAGUUUACACCACCUAAUGAUGCUUGUUGUGCUUGUGUACCAGUCCUCAGUUUUUAAAUCUUUCUUUUCCCCAUAGAUAGUGUUCCUGCGGUUAGCUAAGCAGUUUGAUGUCUUAAACUGAAAUGACAACGUAUGCUGAGAAUCCACUUCCCUGCCAAGUUUGGCUUUUUCAGCGGCAGACUUUGAAUUUGACCCUGGUUUGACCACUGGGGCAACUCUUUUUACACUGUUAUUGUAUUAGUUUCAUUCUUUUCAAUGAUAAAUCUUUGUACUCGGCAGAAUAUAUUUCACAAACUGUCACUCCUGAAAGCACCCCCAUCCAUGUUAAACAACCUUGUGUUCUUGGGAAUAUAAUAUUAUAUUAAACAGUUGGGGGGGAGAGGAAAUGGAAAAAGCGCUUAAGCAAUGUGGAACGUCUUAAAACAGAAUUGCAACACUCACAAAGUAAAAAAAAAAAAGGGCCGGUGUUUGAGACUUGACAUCAAAAGUAUCGUCCUCAUGGCAAAUUGCUGCGACUCUAAUCAGACGCAGCUGCGGCCAUCUCUUCUGUUUUAUCGCAACUUUAUGACUUCCUAACCAAUUGGUCAACAGGUGCCUGUCUUUGUAAACCCAAAGCGAGCAUUCAGUAGACGCGAUCACAUUAAAUGCCAUCGCUGCUGCGCCGCACCGCCGUCUCUCCUUCCUUCCUUCUUUCGCCAUAGUUACAAUUUUGAUGUUGAUUUAUGAAGUGUCCCACACUGAGGUCAGCGGCCUAUCUGAGAUUUAUGAAACAGCCACUGAGAAGAGAGCGAGGCAACCCGAUCUAUCAGCCUUUAUUAUUGUUGUGACUCUGCCGUUAUAACCUCCCUCACAUGCAUCACUCUCAGUCAAUUGAGGAGGGUUUGUUUGAAGACAGAAGGCAGAUUCGGUAAUCGGUACAUGCGGCAUACUUCAGUGAAUCCGCACGGCUUCGCUCAAAUAUCUCGUCUUCCCGUCGUUAAUGCAUUACAUGUCCCUUAAUAUGCUGAAGCAAGUGAAUUUAUCACUCUAAUUGCUGUAGUACAUCAUGAUCUCUUUAGGACUCUUUUAGUCUGUAGAAAGGGGUAUGAUUACAAACAGGACCUUAUUCAGGAAUACAUGCACGUGGGACAUCUUGUGUUCCUACACCAGCAAAGCUUUUCACAAAAUAACAUGCACUUUAAAGCAGCAUCGUACAUACAGGGCAUACAGUUUUGCAUAAGCGAGAAUGCUUGUUUGGCAUAACACAUUCCUCAUCAAGCUUAUUUGAUUCACAAAGCAUGAACGUGAGACAUGCAGUCUUUGGUUUUACUUGCAUAAGAAUACUUUGUUUGGAUAAAAAUAAUACUCACUUAAAAGCAAGAUCACACAAGUAAGAAUGCCUAUUGGCCUAACCGAGUCAUGAUCAAGCUGAUUUGAAAUAAUGCGCAGGUCACAGUUGCACAAAUGCUCUUUUUGUAGCAAUGGCUCUGGGUUUGUCAGUGGGCGUCUUCCUGCCCUGCCAGGUUGCAGACUCCGUUUCUGCUCCAGAUUGACGAAUAAAGUCAUAUUCUGGGUUGCGUAGGACGACUUGCUUGGCAUCCAGCGCCGACGAGUGGAUUAAGCGGAGGCCGUGCCAUCUCUGAAUGGCACCCCAUUGCCAUGGAGACGAGCGUCGCUCAGCAUCAGCACCACGUUCCACACGUUUGACACUCGAGCUCUCAGAUGGGCGUGCAGCAACGACGACAAACAGCGGCAUAUUUCCACCGCUACCUCACAUAUGUUAAAUUUUCUGAAGUAAAUUUGGCAUGUCUAAAAACUAGGAUAAUGAUGAUAAAUGUGACAGCCUGAAAAACUAAUUACAAUUGUCUCCCUGCAUUCUCCAACGCACGCCUGUAUGAAAAACUCAUUUAAAUCUUCCACAAGUCCAAAAGACAGUCUUGCUCUAAAGCCAUUUGGCACACUCGCUCACCCAGUUUACAUUUCCAGAGGAUUAGCAGAAGAGCUUGAAAUAAUCAUGCCAGAUGUCUCCUUACACCCAGAAAAAGAGCCUGCCCAUUGGGCAUUUGGGUUUUUAUUGUAUUUUUUUUCUCUUUUUUUUUUAUCACUCUUAAGUGCAAACACUUUAGAGCCCUUGGAAUGCUUGGCCUCAUGUCGUGAUGUCAUGUAAGCAAAUUAAAUUCCUCUCAUGUCUGUCGAGUUUUAUGGCAUCACUAUAUUUAAUCAUUGCUCCUGUUUGUUUUUUUGUUAUAGUAGCUGCCUAUCGAGUGGCUGAACAGAUUCUGUUGUUGGGAAAUGUUUAAAACUAAACCUAAUGGAACGCUUUAAAGAAAUGACGUAGACCAAUAUGAUGAUGUAAUUCUGUAUCUCUACGUAUUCAAACAGUGAUAAGUCCCCCUGUGUGACGUGUAUUUAAAGAUAUUAAUAUCGACAGUGUUACCUGGCAAAUAUAGCAACUUUUCACCAUGUGUUUUUCUUUUUUUUUUUUUUUUUUUAAAUACUGUGACAGGAUUUGUCUUUGGACCUGAUGGAUAUAAAUAUUCAGUUUUAACACAGUUUGUCAACUACAAAACGAGCCUGCAUAAUUUCUGUCUCCAGCAUCAGCACUUUAACAGAGGUAAAGUUGUAACUUGUGGCUUUCUAUUUUGGAGAAUUUCUGUGUUGAAGACAGCCUACUUUUUGUCUUAACUUCAAGAGAGAGAAAAAGAGAGCCUGGUGAGAGGGUGAUUGUUUAUAACUAAUAUAUUGUAAGUCAUGAGGAGAACUAAAUGUUUCACAGAUGUCACACAACAUUAAAUGCAACUGGAUAAAAAGCAUGACAUGCUUUAAUUGAUAAACAAUUGUAAUCUUUGACAAAUUGCUGAGGAGUAAAACAUGCUUUAGGAUGUGCUGUUGAAGGGAAAUAAUCAACUUGGGUGGUAACGGUAACCGCAUCAUACCACCUCAUCGUUAAUUAUUUCCUUAUAACAACAUGCCCCCAAGUACUUUUUAAAACAAGAAACAUUAAUGUUAACAUCAUAUUAGUGCACUAAAGCAAAAAACAACUGUUUCAACCUCCUCCCUGAUGGAUUUUACAUCAUUUCAUUAUCCGACAAAAGUACAACACCGAGUUGUACAUGAUCAGUUCCUGAAGUGUGGGAGGAACACCAGCAAGGAACUCAACGAGGACCUGUCUAGUUCUUGUUCUAGAGAGUUCCAGAACCAUCUACUUUUAGUGAAAAUGCGCCUAAAAAGUGGUAUUGUGGAAACAAUGGUAAUGUACCGCAGAACACCACCAUGCAUUAGACAUUGCAUUAAAAAUGCGACAUGUAUCUAUUCCCAUAAAACACUUGGUUCCUCACUUGACCUCUGAAAUGCAACCGCAGCCUUUUCUCUUAGUAAAUAGAGACAUGUGUUUCAUCGCUGGACGUGAGUGCUACAGUGUUUGUGGGAUGGGUGUUUUUUUUUUCGCUUUAAUGAGUGCGGCAGGAAUGCUCUGUCUCCCACAUGUCUCAGAGGAAGAGGGAGGGCGGCCAUCUUAUUGCUGCCACAUGUGCAGCGCGCUCUCUCUCUCUCUCUCUCUCACUCUCUCUCUUGCGUUCUCCCUCUCCUGCAGGCCGGUGUGGUCAGCCAGUUCAAAGCAGCCCGUCUCAUUUGUUAUACACUUUAUGUAACAACGUGCUGAUGCCUCC